This 1221-nucleotide long non-coding RNA is filed under the name Homo sapiens (human). Its description in RNAcentral is "HSALNT0089067". Lineage: Eukaryota; Metazoa; Chordata; Mammalia; Primates; Hominidae. The record is from RNAcentral.
ACCACGCCCGGCUGGUUCAGUUCUUAAUACCUUGGUUGGGGAGGAGGGGAGCUGCUCACCUUUAUCUCAGGAACAUUAGUGAAUUGGCAAGUUCUGUUGUCCCAGUCCCUAUCUGACUCAAACCUUAUCUGUAUUGUUUCUCUGACUCCCCAUCCAUACCAGUUCCACUCUGAUGUGAUCACUAAUUGAAGUGGUUCAUAAAGACAUCAUCCAUUUUGUUUUUCUAUGCUGUCUGAAGAAGAAAAGAAGUAAAAUGGAGGACAAGAACAAAGAAAGACACUCCAGUUCAGUGGUCCCCAACCUUUUUGGCACCAGGGACUGGUUUCAUGGAAGAUAAUUUUUCCACAGAUGGGGGUGGGGGGGAUGGUUUCCAGAUGAAAUUGUUCCACCUCAGAUCAUCAGGCAUUAGAUUCUCAUAAAGAGUGGCAACCCAGUUCCCUCACAGGUGCAGUCACAAUAGGGUUCCUGCUGCUAUGAGAAUCUAAUGCCACUGCUCAUCUGAUGGGAGGUGGAGCUCAGGCAGUAAUGCUCGCUCAUCUGCCACUCUCCUCCUGCUCUGUGGCCUGGUUCCUAACAGGCACAGACAGGUACCUGUCUGUGGCAUGGUGGUUAGGGACCCCUGCUCUAGCUUUUCCUUUGUUGGGAGCCUAGUGACCUAGACUUAAGCUGUAAUAACUUAAGUUUCUAUGGCCAUGGAAUGGUUGAAUGACGAACCAUCUUCCCACAUUUAUAUGGUUUCAUUCCAUGCUGAAGGAGAAUAAGAGAGAUGGUUAAAACUUUCCCCUAAAUAUCAUCUAUAGAGAUAUUUUGGGAAAAAAGAGGAGGAACCAUCUGAAAGCAGCUGUAUAAUUUCUAUACAUUUAAAAUUUUAGGUGAAUUUGAACAGGAAGACACUUAGUUGGCUAAUGGGAAGAGAGACUGUUGGUACAAUAUAUAGCUAUAUUUACUUUGCAGUCUAGCUAUGCUUCACUGGGCAACUGGAAAUUCAGUGGUGGCUGAGGCGAGGGAGGGCAGACUCAGAAAAGGAGGGUCAGAAAGGGAGGUGGCAGCCUUGGCUGCUCUCUUCAAUGAGGUAAUCCUUCCUCCGUGCUGCCCUGCUGUCCCUGUGCCUGCUGCCAGUGCCCAUAGAGCUCCAGAUGCAAUUGAUCUCAUUAUAUAUCAGAACAGAAUUGGCUUGAACAGCCUGUUCUAUCCUGGUGAUUAGGACAUAGCAUAUUUUUC